Molecule: ribosomal RNA, 384 nt
Filed under: Triticum aestivum (bread wheat)
Lineage: Eukaryota; Viridiplantae; Streptophyta; Magnoliopsida; Poales; Poaceae
Description: partial small subunit ribosomal RNA
Source: RNAcentral
AUGCGGAGACAACCUCCGAAGGUCACUCGGGGUCAUCCGGCAUGCGUGCGCGGUGCAAAAGUAAUGCGGGUGAGGAGCUUACAUUGCUUUGGCGCAGAUGAAGCCGAGGUGGUCGAUGACAGUCGGCUGCUGGCUUGCAGCCAGGGCUGCUGGCUUGCAGCCAGCGCGCCCCGCCAACUGGGUGUAGCCUCCAGGCAGUCGAACGGUGCAUCGGCCGACCGGACCCGACCGGCCGGGUGUCGAAGAGGACGCUCAGCUGGGAUGGCUCCCCAGCCGACUCGGCAUAGCCGGCCAGCCGGCAAAGCGGGAGGCGGUGACGCAGGCAAACGAACACGGUCGUUACUUGUGUUCUUUCUUUUCCAGCAGGCGGCAUCGUUUUUUUAG